GACGAACGCUGGCGGCGUGCUUAACACAUGCAAGUCGAACGGAAAGGCCCUGCUUUUGUUGGGUGCUCGAUUGGCGAACGGGUGAGUAACACGUGAGUAACCUGCCCUUGACUUUGGGAUAACUUCAGGAAACUGGGGCUAAUACCUGAUAGGAGCUCCUGCUGCAUGGUGGGGGUUGGAAAGUUUCGGCGGUUGGGGAUGGACUCGCGGCUUAUCAGCUUGUUGGUGGGGUAGUGGCUUACCAAGGCUUUGACGGGUAGCCGGCCUGAGAGGGUGACCGGCCAAAUUGGGACUGAGAUACGGCACAGACUCCUACGGGAGGCAGCAGUGGGGAAUAUUGCACAAUGGGCGGAAGCCUGAUGCAGCAACGCCGCGUGCGGGAUGACGGCCUUCGGGUUGUAAACCGCUUUCGCCUGUGACGAAGCGUGAGUGACGGUAAUGGGUAAAGAAGCACCGGCUAACUACGUG
RNAcentral lists this ribosomal RNA (468 nucleotides) under uncultured bacterium. RNAcentral's name for it is "partial 16S ribosomal RNA". It matches the Rfam family "Bacterial small subunit ribosomal RNA", at positions 28 to 507 of the family's 1533-position model. The record is from RNAcentral.